CUGCUGUCCUUGUUUUCAGAGCUCGUAAUGUAAUGAUGCCCUUAAUCGUAAAUGGCCUUGCCUGUAAUAAGGUGAUUGAACAUUGUGCGUUUGUUCGUGAAGUUGCCGUCCGGCACAUUGUCUAGAAAAGUACUACGUGGCACUGUUGGACGAUCAGAUCUCACCACCAUUUGACUGAUGUUGGGGGCACGUCUGAAGACUUCCUCUCAACCAAAUAUUUCCCAAUUGUUCAUAUUGAAAUUACAUGGUGUGCCCACUCUCUCUCUCCCCCCUCUUUCAAUAUCUCCUCUCUCUUCCUCACCUCUCUCUCUUCUCUCUACCCCACCCUCUCUCCCUUCCCCAUCUCUCCCCACCCCUGUCUCUCUCCCCCUUUGAACCAAGGCUAUGAGAGAGAAUUUGGCAACAAGACCAACCUUGUGACUGCCAAUCCCAGCAUCCUUGUAGGUUCCUCUGUGUUGAGUGGUCUGAAACUUGGUCACCAUUCUGAUAGGUUUGCCUCACUGAUGGAUCUUCUGCUCCCUUUCAUGGAAUCUCUUAAACGUGUACGGCGAUGCUCCUCCUCCCCGCAUUCUCCUACCAGCGCAACAUGCCAUCUCUGUGCUUUCAGUUUACACUCUCCAGGAGAACCACGACCAAGUACGGCCUGUGUUCCUGAACCCGGAAUAACAUUUUGGGAUGCCAAGGGCCUGAAGGAGGUUUCCUUUCUCCCUCUGGCCCUGUCCCCAUCUCCAUCCGAAGGCACCUUGUGAGCUGGUCCCUAUCCUGUCAUGAGAUGAGGACCUGGUUCUCUAUAGCCUAGGUCCUGACCUGGCCUCACCAGCACCUUUUGCUUCCUGAUGAAGUUAUGUCUGAGUCAGAGCCAUAUGUGUCUCUAUAUUUGGCCUGGUAUGUGUUCAUACAAUUCCAGUUGUUGGCAUGUACUCUGCAUUGCAAAGGUAAGCAUCUCAGAGACCAGACGAUUAAACCAAUGUGUAUUGUUUGGUUUAUCCCUUUUGUAUUACAG
Oncorhynchus tshawytscha (Chinook salmon) is the source of this 1003-nucleotide long non-coding RNA. The record is from Ensembl. Lineage: Eukaryota; Metazoa; Chordata; Actinopteri; Salmoniformes; Salmonidae.